AGUUUUGUGGUGUAGUGGCACGUCAGAUUGCAAACCUGAUGGCGCAGGUUAAUCCCUGCCGGAACUU
This 67-nucleotide transfer RNA is filed under the name Gymnothorax nudivomer (starry moray). RNAcentral's name for it is "tRNA-Cys". It matches the Rfam family "tRNA". Rfam says of the family: Transfer RNA (tRNA) molecules are approximately 80 nucleotides in length. Their secondary structure includes four short double-helical elements and three loops (D, anti-codon, and T loops). Lineage: Eukaryota; Metazoa; Chordata; Actinopteri; Anguilliformes; Muraenidae. The record is from RNAcentral.